Molecule: ribosomal RNA, 226 nt
Filed under: uncultured bacterium
Lineage: Bacteria
Description: partial 16S ribosomal RNA
Rfam family: Bacterial small subunit ribosomal RNA
Source: RNAcentral
UACAGAGGGUGCGAGCGUUGUCCGGAAUCACUGGGCGUAAAGGGCGCGUAGGUGGCGACCCAAGUCGAUGGUGAAAGCUCGCCGCUCAACGGCGAGUCGGCCACCGAUACUGGGUUGGCUGGAGCACUGUAGAGGCAGAUGGAAUUCCGGGUGUAGCGGUGGAAUGCGUAGAGAUCCGGAAGAACACCGGGUGGCGAAGGCGGUCUGCUGGGGCAGUUGCUGGACA